UCUCCUCCUUCGCAUAAUCAUGGAAAGCGAACCUCUCACAUGGCUAACCCUUUAAAUUCAGUGGCUACCAUUGAGUCAACUCGUUCUUGUAACGAGCUCGGUUAUUCUAAUGCUAGGUUAAGUCAGCAUCAGCAUUUGGUGUUAUCUGGUGGAAAAGAGGAUUUGAGUGCUUUGGCAAUGUUGGAAGAUAGUAUUAAGAAGCUUAAGAGCCCAAAAGCUUCUCCUCGUCCUUCUUUAAGCAGGGACCAGAUUGACUCUGCUUUUGAAUUAUUAGCUGAUUGGUUCUAUGAGGUUUGUGGGUCAGUCUCAUUUUCAAGCCUCGAGCACCCAAAGUUUCGAGCUUUUCUUCAUCAAGUAGGCUUGCCUUCUUUGUCAAGCAGUGACUUGUCUGGUGCUAGACUAGAGAAGAGGUUUCACGUGGCAAAGUCUGAGGUGGAAGCUAGAACUAGAGAUGCUAUGUUCUUACAAGUUGCUUGUAAUGGCUGGAAGAACGAGAAUUGUUGUAGUGGAGAAGAGAAUUUGGUUAAGUUUAGCAUUAAUCUUCCAAAUGGUAUUAGUUUGUAUCAAAAAGCAGUGUUAACCGAAGGAUCGGUGUCUUCAAAGUAUGCUGAAGAGAUUAUGUGGGAGGCAGUGAUGAGCACAUGUGGGAGUGCUUUACAGAGAUGUGUAGGUAUAGUUGCAGAUAAGUACAAGUCAAAGGCAUUGAGGAAUUUGGAGAUUCAAUACCAAUGGAUGGUGAAUCUCUCAUGUCAGGUUCAGGGGUUACUUAGUUUGAUCAAGGAUUUCUUCAAGGAGCUUCAACUUUUCAGGACUGUCACUGAAAAUUGCAUGAAGCUUGCCAAUUUUGUAAAUAAUAAAUCUCAAGUUAGGAUUAGCUUCCAAAAAUAUAGGAUGCAGGAGCUCGAAGAUGCUGGGUUGCUUCGAGUUCCUUCCAGUAAAUGUGAAUGCACAAAGGAUUUUACGCGUGUUUAUGCGAUGCUGGAGGAUAUAUUGAGCUGUGUCCACGUGCUCCAGAUGGUUGUCUUGGAUGAUUCAUAUAAGGUGAUAAGCGUGGAGGAUUCUGUUGCUGGGGAAAUUGCUGGGAUGAUUCAAAGCGAGGGGUUUUGGAAUGAAUUGGAGGCAGUUUAUUCACUAACGAAGCUCAUCAGAAAGAUGGCUCAUGAGAUUGAGGCGGAGCGGCCUUUGAUAGGGCAGUGCCUCCCUCUUUGGGAGGACUUGAAAGCAAAAGUGAAGGAUUGGUCUGCCAGAUUUAACAUUGUUGAUGAACACGUAGAGAAAAUAGUAGAAAAGAGAUUCAGAAAGAACUACCACCCAGCAUGGUCUGCUGCAUUUAUACUUGACCCACUUUACUUGAUGAGGGACACGAGUGGAAAGUACCUUCCUCCAUUCAAGUCCUUGACACAUGAGCAGGAGAAGGAUGUGGACAAGCUUAUAACCCGACUGGUUUCCAGAGAAGAAGCUCAUGUUGCCUUAAUGGAGCUUAUGAAAUGGAGAUCAGAAGGGCUAGAUCCACUGUAUGCCCAGGCUGUUCAGGUUAAACAGAGGGACCCCUCGACUGGAAAGAUGAAAAUUGCACAUCCGCAGGGCAGCAGGUUAGUGUGGGAAACUUGUUUGAGUGAAUAUAAAACAUUAGGCAAGGUUGCAGUCAGGCUUAUCUUCCUCCAUGCGACAUCGUGUGGGUUCAAGUGCAAUCGGUCUUCCAUGAAUUGGGUUUGUAUGCAUAGGAACUCGAGUGUGGGCCUCGAAAGGGCUCAAAAGAUGAUAUUUAUUGCAGCUCAUGCUAAGCUUGAAAGAGGGGACUUCUUGAAUGAAGAAGAAAAAGACGGAGAGCUGGCAGGCUGUGAGGAUGACAUGCUUGAGGAUAGGUUUUGUUUAAGCCAAUUGGAUUUGGUGGAUGGUGAACCACCUUAAGCCCUUGGAGAACGUCCCGGGUCAAACUUGGAAGAACCCAAGAAUGAAUCUUGGUUCUCAUAACAGCACUACUGACUGAUGUAAUCUGCCGUAUCACCUGGAUUGUCUGUUUAUGAAAUUGUCGAGCCCCAUUUUGAGGAUUGGUCCAUCUCAGUGCUUCGUUGUCAAUUGUCAUGGUCAAAGAAAAGUUGGAUCCUUGCAAACUUUUGAUGUCAAGGUUGAAAUUUUUAAGUUAGGGCUAUCAGCUAGGGUCAGCUAAAAAGUCUUUGAGCGAAGGAGAAGCAAGGAGGGUUGUCGGCAUGGAAGGCACAGGAUGGCUGAAAGGGAUACUGCAACAAACUUCAACUGAUUUUAUAGGUUCUCAACUUUGCUUAUGACACAACAUAUGGAAGAUUGUGGCGAAGAUACACAGGCAGGGUUGCACUUUCCAUGUGUUUGCUAGUGGAAUUCCGGAAAUGCUGUCGCAGGCGGUGAAUUUGGUGGAGAGACACAGGACCCUGUCGGCAAAGCUGACUGCUUACCAACUAGAAAGGAAAGUUUUCUUACUCGUAUGGUAUGGAUUUAAUUGUUUGCUCCACUCAUGUUCUUGCUAAAGGGGACGAGGUAUAAUGAUUAAUACAGGACCGCACUUUUCUUUCUACAAGAAUCUUCACACUUUCAAUGCUAUCCCAUGAUUAACCUUUUUUUCUUUUUUUAUUCCACUUAGUUUUGAUUGUUUUCGAAUUCGAAGCCCAUCUAUGAGAGAUGAUUGUUGAAAUGGAUUGGUAUUGUUCAUCCUUUCUGUUUUGUGGACUGUUCACAGUAAUUUUCAGCGGCGUGCAAUUAUGAGGUAACAAGAAAGGUAUCUCUUUUUCCUUUUGUCAUACAUCACAUUCUAUUCAUCAUGUACUCAUAGAUUACCAUAUAAAAAAUAAUUGAAUAACAACAAAAGGAAAAAUAAAGAUAGCAUGAAAGUGAUUAACCAUAUUAUUUAUAUGGUGGGCAUGAUUUUACUCGUUGAAGUGUGAGAUGUAACUUUGGGGAAAAAAAGUGUGAGAUGUAACUCAUUAAUAAAUCAAAAAUUUUUUUUUCA
Molecule: unclassified non-coding RNA, 2983 nt
Filed under: Hevea brasiliensis (rubber tree)
Lineage: Eukaryota; Viridiplantae; Streptophyta; Magnoliopsida; Malpighiales; Euphorbiaceae
Source: RNAcentral